This is a non-coding RNA of Pelobates cultripes (western spadefoot toad), 288 nucleotides long. The record is from the annotation of a GenBank genome assembly. NCBI's taxonomy places the organism in Eukaryota, Metazoa, Chordata, Amphibia, Anura, Pelobatidae.
AAAACGUGCAAACUCUCUUUAAUGGGGUGUAGUUAAAGGGUCUCUCCAGUGCCAGCACUGCAGGUCCCCUCUCCCUCCCACCCCCCAUUCCAGGUUGCUGAAGGGGUGAAAACCCGUUCAGUGACUUACCAGUGGCAGUGACGAUGUCCCACACUGCUUCUUGGUCCGCCCAUGCUCCUCCCCGUCACCACGUCAGCCGGCCGGGGAGACUGAUCACGCCCGCCGGUGGGGGAGACCUAAUGCGCAUGCGCGGCAAUGCCGCGUACGCGCAUUUGACCUCCCCAUAGG